Long non-coding RNA from Microcebus murinus (gray mouse lemur), 351 nucleotides. RefSeq lists it as uncharacterized. The record is from RefSeq and is a predicted model, not a curated record. NCBI's taxonomy places the organism in Eukaryota, Metazoa, Chordata, Mammalia, Primates, Cheirogaleidae.
GCUCCACUCCAAAGCCUGGGAGCUAUUUGCAUGAAGUGCACAUAAGGGUGAUGUGACCUGCCCACGACUGUAAUCCAGGAAAGCCAGAAGAGCAGCAAUGACAGGAUGAAAAACAACUGUGCUGAGGGUAGCAGGAGAAGACAAGUCUACUAUGGAUGCAUUGAUCAGGAAUAAUGUCUUCAAACAAUGUAUUUUCUAAAGCAGCUUUAGAAAAGGAAUGCACUGGUUCCUGGACAACUUAGUGGAAACUGAAGGCUGACUGCAUGGAACAAAAGGCAGCUUUUCCCACAUGUGAAAAGAAAUCAUGAUAACAUGGAUAACAUAAAUAAUAAUUACCUAGUAUUUCCCUGU